GACGAACGCUGGCGGCGUGCUUAACACAUGCAAGUCGAACGGAAAGGCCCUGCUUUUGUGGGGUGCUCGAGUGGCGAACGGGUGAGUAACACGUGAGUAACCUGCCCUUGACUUUGGGAUAACUUCAGGAAACUGGGGCUAAUACCGGAUAGGAGCUCCUGCUGCAUGGUGGGGGUUGGAAAGUUUCGGCGGUUGGGGAUGGACUCGCGGCUUAUCAGCUUGUUGGUGGGGUAGUGGCUUACCAAGGCUUUGACGGGUAGCCGGCCUGAGAGGGUGACCGGCCACAUUGGGACUGAGAUACGGCCCAGACGCCUACGGGAGGCAGCAGUGGGGAAUAUUGCACAAAGGGCGGAAGCCUGAUGCAGCAACGCCGCGUGCCGGAUGACGGCCUUCGGGUUGUAAACCGCUUUCGCCUGUGACGAAGCGUGAGUGACGGUAAUGGGUAAAGAAGCACCGGCUAACUACGUG
Molecule: ribosomal RNA, 468 nt
Filed under: uncultured bacterium
Lineage: Bacteria
Description: partial 16S ribosomal RNA
Rfam family: Bacterial small subunit ribosomal RNA
Source: RNAcentral